UACGAAGGGGGCUAGCGUUGCUCGGAAUUACUGGGCGUAAAGCGCACGUAGGCGGCUUCUUAAGUCGGUGGUGAAAUCCUGGAGCUCAACUCCAGAACUGCCUUCGAUACUGGGAAGCUCGAGUCCGGGAGAGGUGAGUGGAACUGCGAGUGUAGAGGUGAAAUUCGUAGAUAUUCGCAAGAACACCAGUGGCGAAGGCGGCUCACUGGCCCGGUACUGACGCUGAGGUGCGAAAGCCAGGGGAGCAAACGGG
RNAcentral lists this ribosomal RNA (253 nucleotides) under uncultured bacterium. Its description in RNAcentral is "partial 16S ribosomal RNA". It matches the Rfam family "Bacterial small subunit ribosomal RNA", at positions 524 to 776 of the family's 1533-position model. The record is from RNAcentral.